CCUCACCCCAUCUGUUCAGCAUUUUAAAGGGACACAGGUGAAUACCACAGACUGUUUCUGUCCAAAGGCAGAUGUUGGAGGAGCAGUGGUGUCACCCCUGCUUAGGGUGCACCCUGGUGUUGUCCACAUACCUCACAUCCCCCUAAUGAUGUGACUGCCAUAAAACAUAAAAUAUUUUCCAGUUACUCCUUGUUCCAAGGAAUAGUUCUUUCUGAGUUGUACUCAGGCUUGCAUCCUUCUGAGGUCGCUAAAAUGAGUACCCAGACUGUUGGGGGCAAAUUAGCUUACUUGCUAAUUAGCUUACUUGUUGUUAACCGCUAUGAUCUUUGGAAUAGCGGUAUAUAAAUAAAACAAAUUAUUAUUGUUAUUAUAUGUAGUCAAUAAAAUAUACCAAUUUCUAUUCCAAUUCUAGUGCUAUUAUUUAAUAAAUACUCAAGCCCUGAGGAAUAUUAUGUUUAUUUAGGAUGAGAAUAUAAGUCAGUGGAAGUUCAGAAGAGAUAACUGGGUUCAAAAAGUUUUGAGAACUGUUUUUUUUUAACUGAUACUGACACAUUUCUACCCAGUGAAACCUUAGCUUCUGUUUCAGUAGUAGGGGGUACAUUGUUAUUAAACUAGAUUUGCUCAUAUAUAGAUACUUUACUGUAGUUACCUCAUUAACUCUUCUGUAAGGGAGAAGCUUCUUGUGCCGCCUUAGCUGCUUCUCACUGUCUUAUCCCAAGUCAAUCAGUGUCUCUCUGUAAGAUCACUUCCAAAUAAAUUGUGCUGGUGGGGUUGGCCCAGCUGUGCAGCCAGUGCUCUUUCUUUUUAAAGUGUGCAAUUCUGAGAAGACAGCACAUCCCAUUUCAUUUGAAAAUGAGCCUAUCAAGAUGUCUCUGUGAAGAUUGUUGUAUGUCUUUGAUAGUAGUUAUGCUUCUAAUAUAAGAGGUGAAGAAAGUACAGAAUCUGCAAACACACCCCAUCAGUUCCACAAAGCCCACUCCUAACCCCCUAAAAUGUGUUGUGAAUUUUAUUUCCAUCAUAGUUUGGGACUAAUAUUUGCAUAAGAAUCACUCCCCAAACCUCCCAAACACAUGCCCAAAAACACACAAAAAGCACUCCUCAAAGUCCUCAGGUUCCCCACCCCCUUAAAUACUUCUUUCAUGCUGUUCUCCCACCAAAAUGGUGAUAGAAAGUGUCACUCCUGGUCACCAUUUCAGAGGAGAAAAGGUGGGAAACAGUAAAUAUUUUGGCAUGCAAGCAUGUUUGGGGAUGGGAAAUUGGCCUUUGCUAAGUUGCCCUCCCUUAUUUGAAUAGAUAAAUGAAAAUAACUUCUGUAGUAUUAUAAAAUGUUUAAUGCUGCUUUAAAACGUUGCUAAUAUUGGUUAUCUUGGUUAACCAAGAUUGAAGUAACAAGUGAUUAUAAUCUAACAUAUCUGAUGUAUCAUUUUAAUGCUAUAUUGUCAUAUUGUUUUUAAAAUGUUUAAUAACAUUUAAAAAAACAUUGCUAAUAUUUUCUGAAUGUGACUUACAAGCUUUUGCUCUUAUUUCAUACUUGUAUUGUUUAGGUUAGGAUAGAUGAAUAUGAUUUUUCUAAACCAAUCGAAGGACAACAGAAGAAAACAUUUGAACAACAUUGGAGAAAGCACACCCUCUCUUAUGUAGAUGCCAAGACUGGGAAGGUUACGCUGGAAUAUAGACCUGUAAUUGACAAAACCCUGAAUGAAGAAGACUGUGCCACAGUUCCACCUGCUAUUCGCUCCUAUUAGUGAAUUUAAUUCUGCUUUCUACCUGCUGUUUGCUCCUAUCCGUAUUCCACUAGCUAUUCACUCAUAUCAGUGAAUUUAGUUCAACUUUCGAUGUUGUUUGGAAGUUUCUUGGUGUAAGUGUGAGAGUACUUUACCAGAUAGUUGUUGAUCUAUGGCUGCAGCAGUUUUCAUUGCAACAAUCAGGAAGCUUUGCAUUCUGGUCAAUGGCUUCAUUUUUUAUUGGGCAUGGCUAUAUAAAGCUCAUUCUGAAAAGUAUAUUUGCAGUUUCUCAAUUUCCAUGACUAUCUGGAGCUCGAAAGAGAUUAAAUUGUGUCAGUACAAAUGCUAAUCUGCCAAAUGCAUCCUGAUUUCAUACUUCAUGGACAUAUAUGCUUAAUACUGCAGGUCAGAAUUCUCCAGCCUGGUUCCCUACAGUGUAUAAGCCCUAAGCAACAUGACUAAUGUUCAAAUGUAAGAGAAAUUGUGAUCUAAAACAUGUGUAGGACAUCAGAUUGGGGAAGGCUGCUUUAAAUUAUCCCUGUGUACAAUGUAUUAAGAAUGUAGCAUGAUAGGCAGGAAAAAAGAUCUCUUCUAUCAUCAGGGAAAUAGUAUGUUAAAAUCUCCCUGAAAACUUCUGAACAUGUUUUUGAUAUACAAAAUAAUGCUACUGGGAUUAGGAUUGUGGAAUAUGCAGAGUAAACCUUUUUAGCAAAGUUUGAGUUCCACAUAGCACAAAAAAAGGUGAUUUGGGCGGGAGACAUACUGGUAAAAAGUAGCGUGGUGGCGGCGGCGGCAGUAGGGUUAGGGAGUGCACACCAUUCAUACGUUCCCUAACCCUAGUACGUACUAGGGUUAGCCUAGUACGUAUUGGGAGCAAAAAAUGGCAGUGCCCUGUCUACAUGGGCACCACCAUAUUGACAUAAUGGACGCUUAGCGUCUGCACAUCCCACAUUGCAGCGUCACAAUCGUGCUGCAGAAAGAACCUGCUUUUUGCUGGUUCUUUUUGUUCUGCGAUGGACCCGCACGGUUUGGCUGCUGCGGCUCCCUCAUGGAGCAAACCAGGGCAGUGGGAGACUGCCCUUUUUGGGCGGUCUGUAUCUCACUUUGGUUUAAUAAUCAUUUGUUAAAUAACCAUUUUAACUCCAAACCAUGCUGUAUAUAACACACACACAAAAUUAGUAAGAGAACAGUCUUCCCUGUUUCAUAUUUCAGUUUAUAUGCUUAAAUAUUCAAACAUCUUUUAUCCUAAUUUAUUUAGUUCAUUGAAGAAAUUUUGACUUCCAGUAAAUUUCUUACCAUUUUUGUAUCUGGAGAUAAUACUUGUGAAACAAUACAGAGCUUUUGUCAUGUAUUUUUACCAGGAGCUGGAAAUUGUGUAGCCCUCUAGAAGUUGCUCAAUGCCGUUCCUAGCAGUGCUAUUGAAAGUAAUGCUGAGAGUUACAGCUCAAUAAUGAUCCAGGAGGCCACACAGUUGUCACCUGGGAUUUCUGUUUAUGCAGAUAUAUUCUGGUCUAUAAAUGGGUCAGCUAUCUGGCAAAUUACUCCUGCCAAACAUUUUAUUUACAAAUUGAGGGUUAUGUUAACCUGUCCUUGUUUAAUUUUGAGUUGCUAAAUCUGAGAAAGAAGAGAGGCUAUGCUAUUCAGUGUGUGUGUUUCAGGGUUUGGGAACACAAUUAUGUGCAGAAAAAUGCUAUCGCACCUUUUAUAUCAUAGGAGGAAAUUGUGCAUCCCUUCUGAUGUUGCUGGAUUUCAAAUCCAUGGAGCCCUAUCCAGUAUAGCAAUGGUAGGGACUGUUGCAAGUCCUCAUUCUGUAACAUCUAGAAAUACACACUCCUGCUUUGCACAUUAAAAAUUUAAGGCCA
This is a long non-coding RNA of Sceloporus undulatus (fence lizard), 3586 nucleotides long. RefSeq lists it as uncharacterized. The transcript has 2 exons. The record is from RefSeq and is a predicted model, not a curated record. Lineage: Eukaryota; Metazoa; Chordata; Lepidosauria; Squamata; Phrynosomatidae.